AUGAACGCUGGCGGCGUGCCUAAUCCAUGCAAGUCGAGCGAACAGACGAGGAGCUUGCUCCUCUGACGUUAGCGGCGGACGGGUGAGUAACACGUGGAUAACCUACCUAUAAGACUGGGAUAACUUCGGGAAACCGGAGCUAAUACCGGAUAAUAUGUUGAACCGCAUGGUUCAAUAGUGAAAGACGGUUUUGCUGUCACUUAUAGAUGGAUCCGCGCCGCAUUAGCUAGUUGGUAAGGUAACGGCUUACCAAGGCAACGAUGCGUAGCCGACCUGAGAGGGUGAUCGGCCACACUGGAACUGAGACACGGUCCAGACUCCUACGGGAGGCAGCAGUAGGGAAUCUUCCGCAAUGGGCGAAAGCCUGACGGAGCAACGCCGCGUGAGUGAUGAAGGUCUUCGGAUCGUAAAACUCUGUUAUUAGGGAAGAACAAAUGUGUAAGUAACUAUGCACGUCUUGACGGUACCUAAUCAGAAAGCCACGGCUAACUACGUG
RNAcentral lists this ribosomal RNA (496 nucleotides) under uncultured bacterium. RNAcentral's name for it is "partial 16S ribosomal RNA". It matches the Rfam family "Bacterial small subunit ribosomal RNA", at positions 29 to 507 of the family's 1533-position model. The record is from RNAcentral.